This 971-nucleotide ribosomal RNA is filed under the name Methanosaeta sp. enrichment culture. RNAcentral's name for it is "bacterial SSU rRNA". It matches the Rfam family "Archaeal small subunit ribosomal RNA", at positions 1 to 911 of the family's 1478-position model. The record is from RNAcentral. Lineage: Archaea; Methanobacteriati; Methanobacteriota; Methanomicrobia; Methanotrichales; Methanotrichaceae.
CGGAUACAUUCACCCAGAACAGCUAUGACAUGAUACGAUCGAGCUCGUAGCCGGGAUCCUCUAGAGAUUUCUGUGAUCCCGCAGAGGUUACUGCUAUCGAGGUUCGACUAAGCAUGCGAGUCGAAUGUUAGCAAUACAUGGCGAACUGCUCAGUAACACGUGGACAACCUGCCCUUAGGUUUGGGUAUAAACCCGGGAAACUGGGUAUAAUACCCGAUAGGUCUCGAUUGCUGGAAUGCAUCGAGAUUUAAAGCUCCGGCGCCUAAGGAUGGGUCUGCGGCCCUAUCAGGUAGUAGUGGGUGUAGCGUACCUACUAGCCUACGACGGGUACGGGUUGUGAGAGCAAGAGCCCGGAGAUGGAUUCUGAGACACGAAUCCAGGCCCUACGGGGUGCAGCAGGCGCGAAAACUUUACAAUGCUGGCAACAGCGAUAAGGGAACCUCGAGUGCCAGGUUACAAAUCUGGCUGUCGAGAUGCCUAAAAAGCAUUUCAUAGCAAGGGCCGGGCAAGACCGGUGCCAGCCGCCGCGGUAACACCGGCGGCUCGAGUGGUAACCGUUAUUAUUGGGUCUAAAGGGUCUGUAGCCGGCCGGAUAAGUCUCUUGAGAAAUCUGGCAGCUUAACUGUCAGGCUUUCAGGAGAUACUGUCUGGCUCGAGGCCGGGAGAGGUGAGAGGUACUUCAGGGGUAGGGGUGAAAUCUUGUAAUCCUUGAAGGACCACCAGUGGCGAAGGCGUCUCACCAGAACGGACCUGACGGCAAGGGACGAAAGCUAGGGGCACGAACCGGAUUAGAUACCCGGGUAGUCCUAGCCGUAAACGAUACUCGCUAGGUGUCGGCCACGGUGCGACCGUUGUCGGUGCCGUAGGGAAGCCGUGAAGCGAGCCACCUGGGAAGUACGGCCGCAAGGCUGAAACUUAAAGGAAUUGGCGGGGGAGCACCACAACGUGUGGAGCUUGCGGUUUAAUUGGAU